This 72-nucleotide transfer RNA is filed under the name Phrynosoma platyrhinos (Desert horned lizard). RNAcentral describes it as "tRNA-OTHER". The record is from RNAcentral. Lineage: Eukaryota; Metazoa; Chordata; Lepidosauria; Squamata; Phrynosomatidae.
GCCAGUGAGAUGUAGUGGUUUGAGUGUUGGACUACAACUCUGGAGACCAGGGUUCGACUCCCAGCUUGGCCA